RNAcentral lists this long non-coding RNA (501 nucleotides) under Mytilus galloprovincialis (Mediterranean mussel). The record is from RNAcentral. Lineage: Eukaryota; Metazoa; Mollusca; Bivalvia; Mytilida; Mytilidae.
GUUUUAUAAAAGCCAGCACAAACUAAUAUAUUUUACUACAGUUUUUUUCUGUUUAAUGUUCAGUUUAUAAAGGUUAAAAUUUAAAAUCUAGUCAGUCUUAACUAUCUUUAUUAGACAUUGAGAUUCGCUACACUGUAUAUUGUCCGCUAAGACAUCAUUACCUGACACAUGAUAAGAAUUAAUAGUUUUUCAAGUAAUUGCUUAUCUCUGACGCAAAAUUCAGUACAAUUGCAGCAGCUUCCAUCUUAAUCUUAAGCAAAUGUUUCGUUGACCUAUAAGUUUUGAUUUCUGUUAUUUUGGUAUCUUGUGGAGAGUUGUCUUAUUGGCAAUCAUACAACAUCUUCUUUUUUAUAUUCAUGUUCUCUGAUUCAAUAUUUAGAAAUUUAGAACUGCUAGCAUUUAAUGCUAGACUGUCACUUUUUAGUUAAAAGACAUUUAUCCUAAAUAUGACGUUAAGAAGAGCAUUAGCAUGCACCUAGUAUCCUUAGUUGGUAAAAUAAC